RNAcentral lists this long non-coding RNA (768 nucleotides) under Mytilus galloprovincialis (Mediterranean mussel). The record is from RNAcentral. Lineage: Eukaryota; Metazoa; Mollusca; Bivalvia; Mytilida; Mytilidae.
GCCUGAUAUUCAAAUGAUGAAAUCAUAAUCUUUCAACCAGUUUAAUUGAAGUCUGGAGCUGGCAUGUCAGUUAACUGCUAGUAGUCUGUUGUUAUUUAUGUCAUUUUGUUUAUUUUCUUUAUUUUCUUUAGUUACAUCUUCUGACAUCAGAUUCGGACUUCACUUCAACUGAAUUUUAAAUGUUCGUAUUGUUAUGUGUUUAUUUUUCUACAUUGGCUAGAGGUAUAGGGGGAGGGUUGAGAUCUCAAACUUGUUUAACUCAGCCGCAUUUUUCCACCUGUCCCAAGUCAGGAGCCUCUGGCCUUUGUUAGUCUUGUAUUAUUUUAAUUUUAGUUUCUUGUGUACAAUUUGGAAAUUAGUAUGGCGUUUAUUAUCACUGAACUAGUAUAUAUAUUUGCUUAGGGGCCAGCUGAAGGACGCCUCUGGGUGCAGGAAUUUCUCGCUACUUUGAAGACCUGUUGGUGACCUUCUGCUGUUAUUUUUUUCUAUGGUCUGGUUGUUGUCUCUUUGACACAUUUCCCAUUUCCAUUCUCAAUUUUAUUGUCUUGUUUGACAUUUUUUUCUAAUGUGCUUUGUCUUUAUGCCUUUUUAGGCUUCUUUUUUACAUAUUUGUUUGUUUUUAGAGCGAUUAAGAUUAUAACAGAAUGGGCGUAUUGCAUUUGCACCAAUUUUUAAAAAAUCCAAUCUUUCAUUUGCGACACAAGGUUAUAUUUCAUCUGCGGAAAAAAUUAACUACUUUAUUUAAUCAUCGCUCUAUCGUGAAUAUUU